This 73-nucleotide transfer RNA is filed under the name Salmo salar (Atlantic salmon). It matches the Rfam family "tRNA". Rfam says of the family: Transfer RNA (tRNA) molecules are approximately 80 nucleotides in length. The record is from Rfam by way of RNAcentral. Lineage: Eukaryota; Metazoa; Chordata; Actinopteri; Salmoniformes; Salmonidae.
GUCCCCGUAGCUCAGUUGGUAGAGCAUGGUGUUUGCAACGCCAGGGUUGUGGGUUCGAUUCCCACGGGGGGCC